RNAcentral lists this long non-coding RNA (10735 nucleotides) under Lactuca sativa (garden lettuce). Its description in RNAcentral is "long non-coding RNA (LSAT_LNC007794)". Lineage: Eukaryota; Viridiplantae; Streptophyta; Magnoliopsida; Asterales; Asteraceae. The record is from RNAcentral.
AAAAAUACAAGCCAAAAAAUUUCAUUUUUAAAUACGUCAUUAUAAAACCAACAGUUUAAUAAAACAUUCGUAAUAUCAUGUCAUGUCAAAACCAAAGUAGAAAUAAUCAAACGUGUUAUCAUAAAAUAAUAUCAGAGUGUAAUCCCAAAGAUCUCAUGUGCGGAAAACCAUAGUGUGAUGCGCUGCGAUCAAGUCGACUCCUUUCCUUUAAACACGAAGUACCUGAAACCAAAACUGAAAACCGUAAGCACGAAGCUUAGUGAGUUCCCCCAACAUACCACAUAACAUACAAUCACAUAACAUACAAGUAUUGUCAGGCAUAUCUGGGUGCCCAACCUACCCGUUCGGUACUCUCGACCGGAUACUGACCGGUAUAUCUGGGAGCUUGCCUCCCCUUCGGUCCUCUCGACGGGACACUGACUAGCAUAUCUGGGUGAUGGUCUCCCCUUCGGUCCUCUCGACCGGAUACUGACCAGUAUAUCUUGGAGCUUGCCUCCCCUUCGGUCCUCUCGACGGGACACUGACUAGCAUAUCUGGGUGAUGGUCUCCCCUUCGGUCCUCUCGACCGGAUACUGGGGACUAUUUCACCACCUACCACUACCACAUAACAUAUAUAUCUCAAACUAUCUAGCAUGGCUGGGAAUAACCGCCCCUUCGGCCCUAUCGACCAGUGUUCUGGGGGACUAUAUCCCCCUACUGUCACUAGCACAUAGCAUCAUAUCAUACUAGCACAAUAACAUAUAACAGGUAGUAGCAAACCUAGAUGAAUAUCACAAAGACAAACAUCUAUCAUACAAUCCUACUGGUGGGCCGGCAUUGUGGCAAUAAACCAACCUCUACUGGAAGGUAGCUCACCUCACACUGCUGAAGUCCCGUAGACACAAUCCCAUACUACUGAAGUCCCGCAGACUCAACCCCACCUGCUGGCUGACAGAUUCCAGAUCUGUCAAUAUCAAAACAUCACCCAAUUAAUAAUUGGGUCCCACUACAUAACCAUAAACACUUACUUUGGAUAAUUACAUUACCCCAAGCUUGGCUUAUUCAAGCCCAAGGCCCAAUCCGUAGGCCCAAAGUCAACUAGGAAUCAAAACCCAACACAUGGCCCAAUUUUCCAAAUUGGGCCUAGGCCUAUACAUGGUCUCAUUAACAUCAUAUAAUCAUUAAGGCCCAAACUAUGGCCCAUCUUGUUGGAUUAGUGUCUAAGUCCAUAACUAUUUUGGUAUGUACUUGACCCGAUGGUGCAUGGUCCUUUUGGGUUGCCUUCACCAAAGCAACUUGAUAGGAUGAAUUAUGGAGAGAAAGGAUUAAAUAUGAUUUAUUAAUAUAUUAUGGGAAUAAUAUAUUAAAGGAGAAAUCAUAUUGUUUAAUUAAUAUUAGUCAAUAAUUAAUUAGUAAUUAGUUUUGUGACUAAAAGAGAUUAAUUAAACUUAAGGGACUGGAAUUGUAAUUAUAAGAUAAUUGCAAUUUGGGCCAUGGAUUGUCUUAAAUCAAGAGGUGGACGAAUUCUUAUGGGAAGCCCAUAAGGAAAUCGUCCAAGGGCUUGAUUAAAGGAGUCUAUGGGUUGCUUAGGGCUUAACCAACCAAAUUAGGGUUUCCUUGUUAGAUAACCCUAAUAGCCUCACUAUAUAUAGAUCCCUUAAGGACCAAAAACGUGGCUAAGCUUCUUUCUAGGGUUUCACACGAGUUUUGGCAGCCUCUAACCUCUCUCCUCUUCAUCCUCUUGCUUAUGGUGUUUGUGAGCCAUUAGAGGAGUGACACUUGUGACUCUAAGCCUUCCAAAGUCAAUUCAAGGAGGAAUUGGGAUUGUUAUUGCUACAUAACAAUCAAGGUAAUAUCUUAAACCUAAUUAUAUGUUAAUAUUGAUUUCCAUAUGCUAGAAUUAGGGUUUAUAGUCUUGGAUUCAAAGCAUGUACAAUAGAGAAACCUAGAUCCAAGCAUUAGGGUUUGUAUGAGCACAUAGGAUGUCUUAUGACCAAAACCCAUCAGUGGUAUCAGAGCCUAGCUUGGUUUCAAUUGUAUUGAUGCAUUGUAUAUCUGAAAAAUUCGAUUUUUGGUGUUCUGGAGGCUGGACUCGCCGAGUCCAUAGCUGAACUCGCCGAGUCCAUGCAGACUCGACGAGUCCAAGCCUGACUCGACGAGUCAACUCGUCAGAUGGAGGGUAUUUCGGGAUUUCUUGCUGUUUUUGCUUAUGGAUAGUUACCUUAUCAUGUUAGAUCAAUAUUAAUCCGAUUAUAUGAUAUAUUUGACUAUAUUUUUGAUCUAAUUGAAGAUAUUUAUCAAUUAAUAAGAUAAUUGUUUCCUUAUGUGAUAAUUGAUUAAUUAUUUUGACUAAAUUGAUAAAUUGUUUUGCAAGAAAUCAUUAAAUAAAUCAAAUAUGGAUAAUUAUGUGAUUAAUUGUUAAUUUAGAUUAUUUGUUAUUUGAUCCUUGUUGUUAUGAAAAGUUUCAUAUUUUCCCCUUUAGGUUUUAUAGUUUAAAUUUGAACCCAAAAGUUUUGUUGUUUUGAAAUUUAAAUAGUUGAAACCCUAAUGUUUUGAAAAAGGUUUCAAAACUUGCCCUCAAGUUUUGGAAUUUAAAUUUUGAUUAAAUAGUUUAAUUUUGAUGUAUAUUUAAAUUCUAAACCCUAAUGUGUUGAAAUGUUUCAAAACUUGCCCUCAAGUUUUGGAAUUUAAAAGUUGAUUAAAAGUUUAAUUAGGAAUGUUAAAUUCUAAAACUCUAGUAUUGUUUUGAAAAAGUUCAAAUCACACCCUUAUGGUUUUAUUAAUUAAUUAAGGUGUAUAAUUAAAAGAGGUUUAAUAAAUCCAUAAAAGUUUUGGUUUACAAUUUAAUUGAAUUAAAAGUAUAAUUGUUAAAUUUGACCACCUAGUAUUUUAAAAGUGUAAAAUACACCCUAUACUAUAUAUAACAUUAAAAGUCUAACAUUAUAUAUAUGUAUGAGUAAAAGUCAGUCUUACCGUUAGUAGGCCUCAUUCACGAAGCUGGUCUAUAAGGGGUGUUUAAGGAAAUUGCCUAUAAAAUGGCGAUUGAAUGGGUAUCCACUCUUACCCACCGCACUCUUGACUAGUGGAGGGUCGUUAGCCGAACGGGUAGGAUAGGACGAAACCUUCCAUUAUAAGUAUAAUGAAGUAUAAAAGUAACUAAAUGUUUUCAUAAAAUUCCCAAUCUUAGUUACUUAGGCAAAAGUGAAUUGAUGCAAUUCCAUGAAAUUACACUUUGUGCCCUUGCGAAGACGUUAGUGGAGCGUGUGUGGUUUACCGGCACACUAAAUGGUUCUAAGCAAAGGUAGCAAAGGGUGACUCAAUGUUUGUCAUAGUUCGGUGGAGCGUGUGUGGUUUACCGGCACAUCGAAUAGGUGACUGUAACAUGUGAGGGCACCAUGUAAGUUUGCAUGGUUAUUCACACCCGCUUUGUGAUCCUCGGCAUCCCAGUCACAAACUAGAGGGGCAUAUCGAGAUUUAAACAUGCCAUUGAAAUGUUCAAUGAAUCUCAAAGGAUCUAGGAGUUUUCAUAGAUUUAAAACUUAAAUUUCUUUUUCGUUUUUCAUGGUGGAAAUUAGUGAAUCGUCAUUCACUUACCUUCAAAUGUUCUGCAAUUUGGGUUACGGCAUCCCUCUCCCGAGUUGUAGAAUAUUGUGUUGGGUCCUAGCCUUAGUAUCUCAUUUGGGUGAUUUACUAAGGACUCAAUCAAUCAACUAACUUGAAUUCGUUUUCUCCCGUUUUGUAGAUGUCAAAGUUCGACAACUAUGGUCUUCCCAAAUCCCGUGGAACAAGCAUUCCACAUGAAGAUGAUAUUCCACGAUUCGAUCGAGGAACAAGAAAUCAUGCUUCACUUCCUCCACCUCCUCCAAUUAUUCUCCCUAACCCACAAGUUCAAAGGCUUGAAAAGUUCAAGAUCACUCAAGCCCUUUUGGCAAGUAAACAUAAAGAAGGAAAGUCGGUGUGUGCACACGUCCUAGGGAUGAAGUCACACAUUGAUAGGUUAAGAAUGUUGGGAUCCGUUGUCUGUGAGGAAAUGGCUGUUGAUUGGGUUCUUCAGUCACUUCCUAACUCAUAUAGUGAGUUCGUAAGAGAGUACUAUAUGAUGAACCGCGACGUGACCCUUAUAGAUCUCACCUAUAUGCUUAUUGCUGCUGAAUCAGCAAUGGUUUGGCGCAAUAGAAAAGCAAAGUUGAUUGGUGAAUCUGCCUUCAAGACCUCUAUGGAUAUAGACAAUGGCAACGAAAGACAUGCUAUGAUCGAAAAGUUUGAUCAUAAGAGAAAGGCAAUGUCUGAAGUAGUUCCAUGUCAUGUUCCAAAAGAGUCAAUUUGCUUUUAUUGCCAAGAGAAAGGGCAUUGGAGACGAAGCUGCCCCAUUUACCUAAGAGAUCUAAGAGAUGGGAGAGUCGAAACGUAUGGCUCUAAUAUAGGUAAAAUCCAUUAACUAACUCUUUUAAGCUUCUAUUCUAGAUUCUUAAUACAUAAUGUGAUAAGAUUACAAUUGAUGUUUUGUAGGAUCGAAGAAAAGAAAGGAAGCUUAAGGGAAGAAGUGAGCAGAAUCUAACCGUGAAGGAAUGGAUUUCGAUCGCAUUUCUCGAAGAUUAGAUUCUUGAGCUACUACUUAGAGUUAGAAUUAGAUUGCUAAGAAAGAUGUAUUAGCAUAGUUUUUCAAUGAAUUGCAUUGUAAGGACAAAUUUUUCCGCAAUAAAAUAAAUUUUGAUUUUAAAUUUUAUUUAUUUAUCCUUACAAUGGCGUGUAUGAAAAAUUGAUGUUAAAAUGUUUCUAUUAUUAGCAAUAAUGGAUUUGGUUCUUAUUAUGUUAUUUAUGGAAAGUCGAGAAUUUACCAAAUAGGGAGAGUUUCUCAUCGCCCAAGUUUCAAUUGGACAGAAACUUGGAAUCAUGCAACUUGGUUGCACGAUGAAUGAGAAAUUUCAUAUUUGGAAAUUAGACAAAUUCAUUGACAAAGUGUCAAGUGAAGGACUAAGAGAUCGAGCACACAAAGUUGCGUGUUGAUCAAGUCCACCAUAAGAGUAACAAUGAUAUUCGUCAUGAUUUACUAAAGGUUUAGUAAAUAUGAUUAUACUUACAAGAUUAAGUGUAAUUCUGAAUUGAUUAAAGGGUUUAGAUCAAUAGCAGAACGAAUAAGAAGAAUCAAGUAGGCAGAAAGAUAAAAGUUUCUCCAUUCUAAGAAGAUGGGAGAGUACCUUUUAUGCUUUAUGAUAGGUCUUAAUGAUUAAGAACCAUAUCUCAAUUGAUCCUCUAAGUGAGUCUUAGUACAAUUGUAUGUCUAAGAAGAGGAAUCAAGAAUUGAAGAAAUGGUUAAAUCAAGAAGUCAAUCAUACUUCGUUCCAAAACAAGUCUUAGAGUUAAGAUUGUGACAUUGAGUGAUAAGUAUAAAGAAGGUUUAUAACAUUCAUUAAAUGUGGAAAGUUGUGAUGUCUUGGAUAAGACAAAGACCAACUAGGACCAAUUUAUGAAGUGUUUUGAUAAAAGCUACACUAACUCUUGAAUAUUUGUUUGUCAAGAAAUGUUUUUUGACAAGAGAAUCUUAUAUGUCAAGGAGUCAGUGGGAGUCUUAAUGGUCUUGAAAGGUUUCAAGAACAAAUCAAAUAAACCUUAUCGAUCAUCACUAGCACACGAGUUGAGGUUUACAACCUAUCGUGUUGACAUUAUUUUGAUUCUGUGCCAAUCCAAUCGAGUUAAUUAUGCAUGUGAGUUCUAUGAGUUCUCAUUUUGAACGCAUAAAAGGCAAAGCACCUUAAUCAAUGAAAGGUACAUUGAUAGGAAAGGGUGAGCUGCUUAACUACUUGGAAGACAUGGUGGGCAGCUGUGCUACCAUAAAGGCAAGAAAUCGAGAUCAAGAAAGUUCGAUCCAUAAGAGUUUGAAUUUGUCGUAAACUUUGGUUUUGACAAAUUCACAUGGAUAGGAACAAAUACACUGUUUAAAUCUAAGUGUCAUAAGAUUUCCUCCUUCAUGAAAAUGAUUGUGAGGAAAUGCUUUCACUAAGACAGAUUUUAAGAAGAUAGUGAUUGUAAAAUUGCAUUCUCGAAUUCAAUUAUGGUUACGGCAUCCCUUUCCAUAAUUUGAAUUGUGAGGUUUGGCAAUUAGUCUUAAUUGUUUAGACACACAUAUGAACUAUCGAAGGCAAAGGUGUAUAAGUUCAAGAAGCCUUGAUAAAAGAUUAUCAAAGCACUAAGUAUUAGAAACAUGAACUUAAGAAAUUCAAUAAGCAUUUUUUUUCUGAAAGUUAAGAUGUUUAUGAAUACAUGUCGAAGCUAGUGGGAGCAUAAGUGUUAUGUUUUAUAAUAAUCAUCAAGAUAGUGGGAGCAUAAAAGUUAUGAUUGUAUGAUUAUUAAGGAAAGUAUUGCAAGGUUAGCAAUAUUAAUUAUAGAAAACAAGAGUCAUACUUUGCAAAGUCGCAAUAGUUGAAGAGUUGUUUUGCUAUAAUUAAGGGAGAGAAUAUUAUGCUUCAUUUCAAAUCUAAAGGUUUAGGUUGAGAAAUGUUAAUAAAAUUUAGUCAAAGGUACAUAGUGUGUUCUUAAAAUUUCGAUUAUGAUUACGGCAUCCCUCUUCACAAUUCGAAUUUUGAGAACAUAGCAAAUAAAACAUUAUGCGUCGUGUCCCAUACGCUUCGGGUAUAGGAUCGAUUGCAAAUGCUUUAAUGUUUGACCAUUCUAAAAUUUUCCAAAUGUCGAGCGCAUUUAGAGGGAAAAGGGACUAGAAUUGGUUUUGACUAAAAUAAUUAAACAACUAUCAAAGGACAUUCAAAGUUCGACGAGGAUUGGUCGCUUGUGAGUAGUUGGAAGUAUAGUAUUGGAAAAUAUGGAAAUGUUUCCAUAUUGGAUGGACCAUAUCGACAUCAUUACGAAUAGAUAAGAUUCUAUUAAGAAUGAGUUGUCAUAUGGAACAUAUGGAAGUGUGUCCAUAUUGGGAAUUGAAUAUUGAGAAAUCUAUGACUAGAUUAGAAACUUCUAUGCAAAAGGAUGUUCAAAGAAUGUACUUUGAGUGAGAGACAUCACAUCUAUGGAAUUGUCUUGUAACAAUCUCCGAUAGAGGACUUUGUAAUAUCAUUGGCAAUAGUCUUUGUGACUUUGGUGCAGUGACAUUACGAAAGGAUAGUUGCAUAGAAUGUUAGAAUCUAGCAUAUUCUAUAAGUAGCAAGAAUUUGAUAUUCUUUCACUUAUGGAAAAGGAUUUGGAGUUGUGAAAUGAGAAUGAUUGGAAAUGUGUUCAAUUUGAUCUAUUUCACAAAGUAAGAACCAUAGGUAAACAUUGUGUGCAUGCUAGGAGCAUGGGACAAGUGUAAUAAUUCAAGUAAGAAGUUGAUUACCCGAAACGACAAAUAAUGAGUAAUCGAUAUGGUGAUAAAUAAAAGGUGUUUUAUUUAUACUCAAAGGUUUGAGGCCAUAUGGGAUUAGUAUUAUUCUUGUGUUUCACAUUUGCAUGUUUUGACUUCCAGAAUAAUUGAGUUUAUUAAGAAUAAUCGAAUUAUUCGAACGGGCCACAGUCGUUCAUAUGUUGGAAGUAGAUAUGAAUGAAGACUGUCGUGAAUUGGUGUGUGGAUUGUCUAAAGAGUAUUAGACAUAAGCAAAUGUUUGCUGCAACGUUCAUGAGUGCUUAUGAAUAUGAUUUGAGCAUUGGAUUAAACCCACGCUCACUUGGAUCACUCCAUGAAUUGUAUCACGAGUGAUUGGUGAGACGAUAACAUCUUAUAUUCUUGAAACCGAGAUGUGUGAGUUGUAUCUUGCAAAUCGGUUGCACAUUGAUAAUAUGUAAACGCACUAGUAACUUGGUGUUAUAAAACAUAUUGUUGUGUGUGAUUCGGUGAGUGAGUGCAAGCAAGCAUUGUAUCAAAGUUUAUCCGUUCCUUUUAUCCAAAGUAGGAUAAAAGCGAUAUCUUUGGGCCCCUCGAUGAUUUAGUGAUGACAAACGUAAAUGCUCGGCCGGGCUAGGGCUAAUUUGAUUUGUUCAAUUAGUCAGUCGUCAUAAAUCGGGAAUCGAGAUAUAGUACAAAGAGAAUGAUUUGAAAUCAUAUCUCAUACGAUAUCUAGAAUGGAGGAAUAUAUGAUCCCUUAUCUAAGGACACGCGUAUCUGAUAGGAUCAGAGUUGACAGCGGCUUUGGAAAGCUACGAUUGCAGAUCAGGAUCUGAAGUCAUACGCAUAAUAGUUAUUAGACUUAUCCAAGUGGGAGACUGUUGGAUUAGUGUCUAAGUCCAUAACUAUUUUGGUAUGUACUUGACCCGAUGGUGCAUGGUCCUUUUGGGUUGCCUUCACCAAAGCAACUUGAUAGGAUGAAUUAUGGAGAGAAAGGAUUAAAUAUGAUUUAUUAAUAUAUUAUGAGAAUAAUAUAUUAAAGGAGAAAUCAUAUUGUUUAAUUAAUAUUAGUCAAUAAUUAAUUAGUAAUUAGUUUUGUGACUAAAAGAGAUUAAUUAAACUUAAGGGACUGGAAUUGUAAUUAUAAGAUAAUUGCAAUUUGGGCCAUGGAUUGUCUUAAAUCAAGAGGUGGACGAAUUCUUAUGGGAAGCCCAUAAGGAAAUCGUCCAAGGGCUUGAUUAAAGGAGUCUAUGGGUUGCUUAGGGCUUAAGCAACCAAAUUAGGGUUUCCUUGUUAGAUAACCCUAAUAGCCUCACUAUAUAUAGAUCCCUUAAGGACCAAAAACAUGGCUAAGCUUCUUUCUAGGGUUUCACACGAGUUUUGGCAGCCUCUAACCUCUCUCCUCUUCAUCCUCUUGCUUAUGGUGUUUGUGAGCCAUUAGAGGAGUGACACUUGUGACUCUAAACCUUCCAAAGUCAAUUCAAGGAGGAAUUGGGAUUGUUAUUGCUACAUAACAAUCAAGGUACUAUCUUAAACCUAAUUAUAUGUUAAUAUUGAUUUCCAUAUACUAGAAUUAGGGUUUAUAGUUUUGGAUUCAAAGCAUGUACAAUAGAGAAACCUAGAUCCAAGCAUUAGGGUUUGUAUGAGCACAUAGGAUGUUCUUAGGACUAAAACCCAUCACAUCUAUGACCCAAUUUUCCAAAUUGGGCCCAAGCCCCUUACAUGGGCCUUACCUUAGGCCCAUUAAAUUAUUCUAGUCUAAUUGCUUGAUCUUGGAUAGCCCAUUUAAUAACCCAAUCAUCAAGGCCCGAAGAAAGGCCCAAUGAUAAACCCAAAUGAGAUUAGGGUUUCACAUAAAAUGACAAUUAGGGUUAGGUUUCCUACUUAACCCAUUAAGGACUUAAUCCAUUAAGUCCAUUAUCGCUUAGAUUAAUCUUUGCCAAAGUUUAUUAUUUAAUAUCUCAAGUUAUUAAAUAAUUUGUGUGUGUGUGUGACCCGAUUAAUUCUUAAAGUUAUGGUUUCAUUGGCAUUAGGGCUUUCCAAACCCUAAUUAAGGUUUCCAACCCAAUACCAGCCCAUUUAUUAAUUUGUUGGGCUUUCAGAUCAAUUAGGGCUUUAUUGGGCUUAUUAAGCCCACUAAAAAAUAUUAUUAAGCCCAUUAGGGUUUUAUUGGGUCCAUUAGAGUCCAUUAAGCUUCAUUGGGCCCAUUAGGGUUUUAGUCCCUUGUCCAAUCAUCCAAACGAGUCCAAACACCAUCAAUGCACACCGCCACCCGACACAGCGGCCGUUGGUGGUUUCGAAUUUCUUUUCAUUAUUUUUCUUUCCGGUUACAUUUUACAAUGAGCUCACGAAAUAACACACACAUACACUAUACUAAAAUAAACACACAUACACAGGCGGCACAUGGCGGCAGCCACCACCUCACGGUGGUGGCUGUGGUGGCUUUUCUCGUAACUCCGGCCAACAAUACUCCAUACUACACUCCCUCGGGAUAAACACGCACGCACCAAAAUGUACCCAUAGCCACCCCACACACGGUGGUCGAAGGUGGCAGAGAACAAAACGACGACAAGGUGGUUCUCCUUGAGCUUUUCUGUACAGCGAACAACCCUUUACACGCCACGGAGGAGCAGCGAUAUACACACACACAAACACGACAGCAGUAGCAGCGAAAAAUGUUCGCUCGCUAGCAGGUCCCCGUCGUCGCCGGCGACAAGAGCUACGAUUGANCAGCCACCACAUCAUGGUGGUGGCUGUGGUGGCUUUUCUCGUAACCCCGGCCAACAAUACUCCAUACUACACUCCCUCGGGAUAAACACGCACGCACCAAAAUGUACCCAUAGCCACCCCACACACGGUGGUCGAAGGUGGCAGAGAACAAAACGACGACAAGGUGGUUCUCCUUGAGCUUUUCUGUACAGCGAACAACCCUUUACACGCCACGGAGGAGCAGCGAUAUACACACACACAAACACGACAGCAGUAGCAGCGAAAAAUGUUCGCUCGCUAGCAGGUCCCCGUCGUCGCCGGCGACAAGAGCUACGAUUGACAUCAUCAGAGGCAGCAGAAGCUUCGUCUUCAGCGGGUGGCGCAUCGGCGGUUCGUCACAGAGCUACGAGCAAAAAAAGAACAAGCAGCGAAGGGUGGUACCAGUGGCGGCGGAAAACGAUGGCAAUAAAGCUCAGAAAAGCCCACCUUGGCGAACGACGGCUCACCGUCUCCAUCGACCCUCGGCGGUUCUCCGACAACAGCGUCGCAAUGGCGACCUUCCCUAGCAGCGUAGUAGCCGGCGGUACUCAAUGGUGAGGUGGUAGGCAUCUCCGCUGAUCGGAACAACGAACAGAAGGGAGGUGGUGGCGGCUGACUUCUCCCAUGGCGGCUGGAAAGGCUCUCCUUAGGGUUAGGGUAGGCAACGGUUAUAUACUCCCGAGCCCCAUAAGCAUUAUU